RNAcentral lists this ribosomal RNA (464 nucleotides) under uncultured bacterium. Its description in RNAcentral is "partial 16S ribosomal RNA". It matches the Rfam family "Bacterial small subunit ribosomal RNA", at positions 28 to 507 of the family's 1533-position model. The record is from RNAcentral.
GACGAACGCUGGCGGCGUGCUUAACACAUGCCAGUCGAACGGAAAGGCCCAGCUUGCUGGGUGCUCGAGUGGCGAACGGGUGAGUAACACGUGGGUGAUCUGCCCCUAACUUCGGGAUAAGCUUGGGAAACUGGGUCUAAUACCGGAUAGGACAAUCGUUUAGUGUCGGUUGUGGAAAGUUUUUUCGGUUAGGGAUGAGCCCGCGGCCUAUCAGCUUGUUGGUGGGGUAAUGGCCUACCAAGGCGUCGACGGGUAGCCGGCCUGAGAGGGUGGACGGCCACAUUGGGACUGAGAUACGGCCCAGACUCCUACGGGAGGCAGCAGUGGGGAAUAUUGCACAAUGGGCGCAAGCCUGAUGCAGCGACGCCGCGUGGGGGAUGACGGCCUUCGGGUUGUAAACCUCUUUCGACAGGGACGAAGCUUUGGUGACGGUACCUGUAUAAGAAGCACCGGCUAACUACGUG